UACGGAGGGUGCAAGCGUUGUCCGGAUUUAUUGGGUUUAAAGGGUGCGUAGGCGGCCCGUUAAGUCAGCGGUGAAAUCCCGGGGCUCAACCCCGGAACUGCCGUUGAUACUGGCGGGCUUGAGUUCGGUCGAGGCGGGCGGAACUGGCGGUGUAGCGGUGAAAUGCUUAGAUACCGCCAAGAACCCCGAUUGCGUAGGCAGCUCGCUUGGCCGAAACUGACACUGAGGCACGAAAGCGUGGGGAGCGAACAGG
Molecule: ribosomal RNA, 253 nt
Filed under: uncultured bacterium
Lineage: Bacteria
Description: partial 16S ribosomal RNA
Rfam family: Bacterial small subunit ribosomal RNA
Source: RNAcentral